CUCCUCGUAGCUCAACUGGAUAGAGCAAGUGCCUUCUAAGCACUAGGUUGCAGGUUCGAUUCCUGUCGAGGAGA
Molecule: transfer RNA, 74 nt
Filed under: Caudoviricetes sp.
Lineage: Duplodnaviria; Heunggongvirae; Uroviricota; Caudoviricetes
Description: tRNA-Arg
Rfam family: tRNA
About the family: Transfer RNA (tRNA) molecules are approximately 80 nucleotides in length.
Source: RNAcentral